RNAcentral lists this ribosomal RNA (973 nucleotides) under human oral metagenome. RNAcentral's name for it is "bacterial LSU rRNA". It matches the Rfam family "Bacterial large subunit ribosomal RNA", at positions 1948 to 2925 of the family's 2925-position model. The record is from RNAcentral.
GUCCUAAGGUAGCGAAAUUCCUUGUCGGGUAAGUUCCGACCCGCACGAAAGGCGAAACGAUCUGGACGCUGUCUCAACAAGGGACUCGGUGAAAUUGAAAUACCGGUAAAGAUGCCGGUUACCUGCGAUAGGACAGAAAGACCCCAUGGAGCUUUACUGUAGCUUGAUAUUGGGUUUCGGACAUUUAUGUACAGGAUAGGUGGGAGACAGAGAGACGUGUUCGCCAGAAUGCGAGGAGUCACUGGUGGGAUACCACCCUUAAAUGUUUGGAAUUCUAACGAGGCGUGUUAACCACGUUUUGGACAGUGUCAGGUGGGCAGUUUGACUGGGGCGGUCGCCUCCCAAAAGGUAACGGAGGCGCUCAAAGGUUCCCUCAGAACGGAUGGAAAUCGUUCGAAGAGUGUAAAGGCAAAAGGGAGCUUGACUGCGAGAGCAACAACUCGAGCAGGUAGGAAACUAGGACUUAGUGAUCCGGCGGUUGCGAGUGGAAGUGCCGUCGCUCAACGGAUAAAAGCUACCCUGGGGAUAACAGGCUUAUCUCCCCCAAGAGUCCACAUCGACGGGGAGGUUUGGCACCUCGAUGUCGGCUCAUCACAUCCUGGGGCUGUAGUUGGUCCCAAGGGUUGGGCUGUUCGCCCAUUAAAGUGGUACGCGAGCUGGGUUCAGAACGUCGUGAGACAGUUCGGUCCCUAUCCGUCGCAGGCGUAGGAAAUUUGAGAAGAUCUGUCCUUAGUACGAGAGGACCGGGAUGGACAUACCUCUGGUGUACCAGUUGUUCUGCCAAGGGCAUGGCUGGGUAGCUAUGUAUGGAAGGGAUAAGCGCUGAAAGCAUCUAAGCGCGAAGCCAACUUCAAGAUAAGAUUUCCCACCGCAAGGUUAAGAUCCCAGGAAGACUACCUGGUUGAUAGGUCAGAGGUGUAAGUGCAGCAAUGUAUGUAGCUUACUGAUACUAAUAGAUCGAGGACUUGACCAA